RNAcentral lists this ribosomal RNA (448 nucleotides) under uncultured bacterium. Its description in RNAcentral is "bacterial SSU rRNA". It matches the Rfam family "Bacterial small subunit ribosomal RNA", at positions 354 to 796 of the family's 1533-position model. The record is from RNAcentral.
GUCGGGAAUUUUGGGCAAUGGGCGAAAGCCUGACCCAGCAACGCCGCGUGAAGGAUGAAAUCCCUCGGGAUGUAAACUUCGCAAGAACGGGAAGAAUAAGCCUGUGCGAAUAACACAGGUGAUGACGGUACCGUUUGUAAGCUCCGGCUAACUCCGUGCCAGCAGCCGCGGUAAUACGGGGGGAGCAAGCGUUGUUCGGAUUUACUGGGCGUAAAGGGCGCGUAGGCGGCCACCGCAAGUCAGUUGUGAAAUCUCCGGGCUUAACUCGGAAAGGUCAACUGAUACUGCGGGGCUAGAGUGCGGAAGGGGCAACUGGAAUUCUCGGUGUAGCGGUGAAAUGCGUAGAUAUCGAGAGGAACACCUGCGGCGAAGGCGGGUUGCUGGGCCGACACUGACGCUGAGGCGCGAAAGCUAGGGGAGCGAACGGGAUUAGAAACCCUGGUAGUCC